RNAcentral lists this ribosomal RNA (452 nucleotides) under uncultured bacterium. Its description in RNAcentral is "bacterial SSU rRNA". It matches the Rfam family "Bacterial small subunit ribosomal RNA", at positions 28 to 524 of the family's 1533-position model. The record is from RNAcentral.
GAUGAACGCUGGCGGUAUGCUUAACACAUGCAAGUCGAACGGUCUUUUAGGAGACAGUGGCGGACGGGUGAGUAACGCGUAAGAAUCUACCCUCAGGUCGGGGACAACCACUGGAAACGGUGGCUAAUACCGGAUGUGCCGAGAGGUGAAAGGCUUGCUGCCUGGGGAAGAGCUUGCGUCUGAUUAGCUAGUUGGUAGUGUAAGAGACUACCAAGGCGACGAUCAGUAGCUGGUCUGAGAGGAUGAUCAGCCACACUGGGACUGAGACACGGCCCAGACUCCUACGGGAGGCAGCAGUGGGGAAUUUUCCGCAAUGGGCGAAAGCCUGACGGAGCAAUACCGCGUGAGGGAGGAAGGCUCUUGGGGUUGUAAAACCUCUUUUCUCAGGGAGAAAAAAUGACGGUACCUGAGGAAUAAGCAUCGGCUAACUCCGUGCCAGCAGCCGCGGUAAU